RNAcentral lists this ribosomal RNA (357 nucleotides) under uncultured Latescibacterota bacterium. Its description in RNAcentral is "bacterial SSU rRNA". It matches the Rfam family "Bacterial small subunit ribosomal RNA", at positions 1027 to 1382 of the family's 1533-position model. The record is from RNAcentral. Lineage: Bacteria; Pseudomonadati; Candidatus Latescibacterota.
CACCUGCACAAGUGCUGCAUGGCUGUCGUCAGCUCGUGUCGUGAGAUGUUGGGUUAAGUCCCGCAACGAGCGCAACCCUUAUCCCUAGUUGCCAUCAGGUAAAGCUGGGAACUCUGGGGAGACUGCCGGUGAUAAACCGGAGGAAGGCGGGGAUGACGUCAAGUCCUCAUGGCCCUUACAUCCCGGGCUACACACGUGCUACAAUGGCAGGUACAGAGGGCUGCGAAGCCGCGAGGUGGAGCGAAUCCCAGAAAACCUGUCUCAGUCCGGAUUGAAGUCUGCAACUCGACUUCAUGAAGGCGGAAUCGCUAGUAACCGCGAAUCAGCACGCUGCGGUCGAAUACGUUCCCGGGCCUU